This 449-nucleotide ribosomal RNA is filed under the name uncultured bacterium. Its description in RNAcentral is "partial 16S ribosomal RNA". It matches the Rfam family "Bacterial small subunit ribosomal RNA", at positions 330 to 794 of the family's 1533-position model. The record is from RNAcentral.
UCCAGACUCCUACGGGAGGCAGCAGUGGGGAAUAUUGCACAAUGGGGGGAACCCUGAUGCAGCGACGCCGCGUGGGCGAGGAAGUAUUUCGGUAUGUAAAGCCCUAUCGGCAGGGAAGAAGAAAUGACGGUACCUGAAUAAGAAGCACCGGCUAAAUACGUGCCAGCAGCCGCGGUAAUACGUAUGGUGCAAGCGUUAUCCGGAUUUACUGGGCGUAAAGGGAGCGCAGGCGGCACGGCAAGCCUGAUGUGAAAGCCCGCGGCCCAACCGCGGGACUGCAUUGGGAACUACCGGGCUGGAGUGCCGGAGAGGUAGGCGGAAUUCCUAGGGUAGCGGUGAAAUGCGUAGAUAUUAGGAGGAACACCAGUGGCGAAGGCGGCCUACUGGACGGUGACUGACGCUGAGGCUCGAAAGCGUGGGUAGCGAACGGGAUUAGAUACCCCCGUAAU